CCUUCCGUUGGAAUCGAACUCCGGCCGUGAGCAGAGCUUCUGCUGCGUUACUGCCGCUUGCCACUCUGCGCCAUAAUAGGAGAGCAAUUUGUACCACGUCUGGGCACUUUGAGCACACUUGAAAACUUGCACACAUUGCUAACACUUCUCCUCCUAGAAGUUAGACAGAACACUCCACACAGUUGUGCAUCUACAUGAAGCCCUUGGGAGCAGUCAUCAGGAGAUUUGGGGUGAGGUGUCAGCAGUACGUUGGUGAUACCCAGCUCCAUUUCACUCUAACAUCUGAACCAGGAGAGGCCAUGCAAGCCCUGGACUGCUGCCUGGACUCAUUGGAUCCAACCUACACCUUGUUUCAGGCAGACAAAGAGAGAGACCCACCUCAUGUUGGACAGUGGUGACCAGGAUGUUCAUCGCUGUUCCUCCAUGGACCAUGGGAUUGUUAGCCUCCAUACUCCAGGCAAGAUCCAUGACAGUCAUUUAGACAACAAUGUACCUAAUACAGAGCUGGUGCAAUAAGGGAGACUGCAACUGCUUCACUGCUGCUUGUCCAACUUCAUCUUCUUCAUCUUUAUCAUCAUCACUGAUAUUGAUGUUGAUAAUAAAAUGUAUAUCCCACUCUUCCUCCGAGAUGGAGCCCAGGACGGCAAACAGAUGAUAAUACUGUCCAAGGCUCAGGAGCCCUGCUGGAGUGACUGGCAGGCAAC
This is a long non-coding RNA of Rhineura floridana, 704 nucleotides long. RefSeq lists it as uncharacterized. The transcript has 3 exons. The record is from RefSeq and is a predicted model, not a curated record. Lineage: Eukaryota; Metazoa; Chordata; Lepidosauria; Squamata; Rhineuridae.